ACAAAUGCGUUGCUGAAUUCGGCAGAUACUGACGUGACGGCACUCCUUUUUGGUACACACCCAAUUCCGCAAGGAGUUAUUUUUCAAUGCAUCAGAGCUCCACACCCCUGCCCAAUAGAGAAGUGCGCACCAUAGGGAGAGACAGGUCGGAAUGACUCUGGGUCCUACAACCCCUUGUGUUCCAGGAAACUUUGAAAAAGCAGAGCUUUUUCCUCUUCACCAAGACAAUGUUUAACAAUACUGUCAUUCAGCAGAAAUGGUUGACAGAACACUGUGAACCUCCGGUAAAACUCAACAUCUCCUGGUGCCUAAGGAGCUCCCGCUGCUUCGACGAGCCUCUGAAGGCAGGGAGCUACUUCAGAACGCCAACUGUGAAGCAGGACGGAUGCAGUGGGUUCUAUGUGUUUUAUCAGUACCCUGCCGUUGAGUGCAAACAGCACAUGACCCACAGUGAGGUACAGUAUAUGGCAAUGGAGGGUCUCAUAAGAAGGGCUUUCAUGGAGAGACACCUUCCCCUCCAGGAGACUGUCUAACAUGACGACAACACCACCCCAAUGGGUGUUGCUGGGCAGCUUCAAUGUAAUGCUCUUAUUCUUCUCACUUUGCUUUGUGAGGUAGAUUGCAGCUAUAACUUGAUAACCCUUCACAUACCUAACCAUUUCCUUGGCUCUCUUGUAGACUGUAUCCACUGUUUUCAGUGCCAUGACGUCCUUGCGGAGCAGAUUCAAUGCAUGAGCAGCACAGCCAAUGGGUGUGAUGUGAGGGUAGGACUCCACUUUACACAAAGCAGCCUUCAUGUUUGCAGCAUUGCCUGUCACCAAUACCUUCUGUGGUCCAAGGUCAUUGAUGACUUCCUUCAGCUCAUCUGCAAUGUAGUGUCCCUUGUGUCUGUGCUCUUGUAAAAUACUGGUUGAGGGGUGGAGAUGAUGUAGUUAAUAAUUCCUUGCACACAAACAUUUGACCGCCCAUCAGAGAGGAUUUCAAUACAGUCUGCUUUCUCUAUGAUUUACUUGAACUCUGUUUUUUUUAUUUUUUGUUUUUUUUACCUUUAUUUAACCAGGCAAGUCAGUUAAGAACAUAUUCUUAUUUUCAAUGACGGCCUGGGAACAGUGGGUUAACUGCCUGUUCAAGGGCAGAGCGACAGAUUUGUACCUUGUCAGCUCGGGGGUUUGAACUCGCAACCUUCCGGUUACUAGUCCAACGCUCUAACCACUAGGCUGUUGAACUCUGCAUCCAGCAAAUGAGUAGAUAAAGCAUAUCUGGUUGGAAGGGUGUAUGCUGGGCGACGAACAUUCAGAAAUCUCUUCCAAUACACAUUGCCUGUGAGCAUCAGAGGUGAACCAGUUGCAUACACAGCUCGAGCAAGACAUUCAUCAGCAUUUCUCUGACUACGUUCCUCCAUUGAGUAAAGAACAACAACGUAUAAUUCCAGGAGGAACAUGAGCUGUUGCUGUCAAUAAAGGUGUCUGCUUCAUCAUUUCCACCUCGAAUAUAAGUAGAGAGACUUUUGUCAGAGGUUGCUUGUGAGCGCUGAGGGAAAUGUAUGCACUUGGCCAGAUGAUUCUGCAUCUUUGUUGCAUUCUUCACAUAUGAUUUGGCACAGUAUAUGCAAAUAUACACAGCUUUUCCUUCUACAUUAGCUGCAGUGAAAUUUCUCCACACAUCAGAUAGUGCCCGUGGCAUUUUCCUGUAAAGAUUAGAAACAGAUUAGUAAAAAAAAACACAAAUGCAAUUCCAUGUACAGAUAAAUAGUUAAGCAGUUAGAUUAAACAACUCCUUUGUAAGAUAAAUGUUUUAAAAUAAAACAUAUAGAAACAGGCGAAUUAACACUCCUCAGUUAGCAGGCUCAAGUAAGCUAAACCCACAUGUUAGCAAAAACUAACUACCAGAAAUUGUAAACAAGUUAGAAAUGAUAGAAACACUUUGCAGUAGGCUACUAUUCGCUAGUUAACAAAAAGUAUGUCAUAUGAAAUAUAUUCAUCCCACCCAGUAUUGUAAUCAAAACUUACCAGAAUGCAUGUAGCCCUUGGCCCAGACAGCGUGGGCUCAAUAGCAUCUCAUAAGUGUGUAAGAUCUUGAGAAUCAGCCGUACAUGUGAUAGAAGAAUGCACUGUGCAUGCAGAGGAUUGUGAUUCCAUUGAAUUGGGGAUAGUUUAACCAAAAUAUGCCACAAGACCUAUAAUUGCCUUGUGUAUCCCACAAAAAAAUGGUUCACUGUUAUAAGCUAACUUGUUUGAAACAUUUAAGCAAAGUACUCCAAAUUCCCGGGCUUGACUUCCCAUGGAAAAUUUUCUGAAAAGUUUCUGACGCUUUGCAACCCUAAUAGUAACACAGUAAUUCACCUAGGUGUCAUUGGAAUGGCUGUCUUUAUCCCCCUGUUUUAGCCUGUCACUGUCAAGGACAAAGAGAUGAGGAAAAGGACCGCUGGGAAUCCAAAGGAGACGUUUGCUGUUAAAGCGGAGGCAACUGUGGUCACAGGCAAAGCCCCAGCCCCCGCUGCAAAGAAACAAGUGGGAAAACAUUUGUUCAGCCAGCUAUUUCCUAAUGCCUGGCUGUCUUAAGACGUAGAGAUCCUAUAUUGUAGCUCUAUGCUCCUAGACUCCCCAGCAUCACAUUGAUGCAAUGGCUCAGACCUGGGAGGAUGGCCUUACAUGUUCAUCAUCCCACAUCAAAGAGAUCAAGGAGAAGAGCAGCACCGCCACUGACUCUGUCCCACCACAGAACUGGGACAUCCAACAUAACGAAUAUUAUUAUGUCCUUCACCCCCUGCAGUGGAAGUCAGUAGGAACAGGAACCCUUUGACUACAUCUGUUUCAGAAUGACUUAUGAUCGUAAGUCAAUUCUGCCGUGGUAAGUUGUCUACAUGGAAAACAGUCUAUGCUACAGCUUCAUUACAUGUAGUAUAAUGAACACAAGUAGCUUCUAAGGUGUGGUCCUAUAGGGCAUACUCUCUAUCUUACCGGACAAUACAGACUCUCUAGUUCGUUGCCAGCUCACCUAACUGUCCCUUUUGCAGUUCUACAUGGUGAUGUGUGUCAUCUAUGUGUUGCUGGGCCUGCACUGUGGCCUUGGCUGUCAGUCUGCUACUGGAGAGAGCUACUCGGGAUCCAGUUCUGGAUCGGCGGGGUUAUCUUCCUGUGCAUGCUGGAGAAGGCCGUGUACUAUGCCGAGUUCCAGAGCAUCCGCUAUGACGGCCUCUCCGCUCAGGAGGGGGAGAGACAAGAACCUUACAGAAAAGCCACUUGAUUUCACUUAUGAAAUUUCACCUGAAAUUCACGUGAUCACUUGAGAAACACGUUUUUGUCUGUAAUUGGUCUUUUAAGGAAAUCAACAUGGGGUUUAAGUGGUCAUAUUUGGUGGACACCCCUAAACACACAUUUUCAGCCAAUUUUGUUUUCUACCUAAAUCUUCCUGGUGGGCAAGGUUGGAAUUGGGUAAAAUAUAGUUGCUCCUAGUGUGGUGCUAAAUGUGCAGUUGUACUCCAUUUUAAUCAUCUUUAUAUGUGUGCUGUGUCCUCCAACAGUCCAGGGGGCAGUAGUGUUUGUGGAGAUCCUUUCGGCAGUGCGGACCCUGGCCCGUGUGCUCGCCAUCAUCGCUAGUCUUGGUUAUGGAAUUGUCAAGGGAGUCAGUCCCUUCAUAAGAGGUCACAUUGUUAAGACAGUGGAGAGUGUUAAACUCUAUUUCCAAUUCUGUCUCUCUCUGUCUCUGUCUCUCUGACUCUGUCUGUCUGUCGCUCUCUCUCUCUGCCUGCCUGUCUCUCUCUCUCCGUAGGCCAAGGCUCAGUGCAUUGAUAUACAGGGUGGUUGGGGUGGGACUGCUCAUUUCAUUUUUAUUUUGACCUUAUCUUCUCCGUUGUCGAGGGAAUCCUGAGGGUAAAUUCGGGUAAGUCUGGUCUCUGUCCUCUCCUUUCUGAUCAAUAUACUACCUCGGUAUUCCCCCAAAAUAUAUUGUCCACCUAACUAGACUAUUAAAACAUUUUGAUACGUUUUUGAUACGGAACUAAACAAAACAAUGCCAUGAUGCUCUUUGUUGAAUAUCUUCAUCUUUGGCCAAAGGAUGCCAGGAAUCUUGUGUGUGUGUCGUAGUACCGUCAUUCCACUGUCAGUGUUUGCCUGUCUUUCUCACAGGGUCAGGGGGCAGUAGCAGACUACUGUGUGACAUUAUUCUGGCGUUCACUGACUCGUGCUUUGUGUGGUGGAUAUCCUUUUGGAGUGGUCAGACAUUAGAGGCCAUCAGUCUGCCUGUCUGUCAGUCAACGUGUUAAUCUAGUUGUCACUGUAUGCAGUUAGUCUGUCAGUAUUAAGAACUCUUUUAUUUUUCUCCCUCCUGGGCAUGUUUGUCUUGAGCUGUGUUUCCAAAGCUUACUCAGAUCUCCUCAUCCCUUUUACCAGUGUCUCUCAUAACUUCUCCAACAAGUUUGAUUCCAACCCUCUUUGAGUGGCAGUUUGGUUAUACACGGGUCCUCUUGGUGUGUAUCUGUCUAUCUACAUGGCUGCCUGAAGAGUAUGUGAUAAUGUCCCCUCGCUCCCUCUGUCACUCCCUCUGUCACUCUGCCCUUUCUCCUGCCCCUCUGUGCUUGUAUCCGUUCCCCUCCCUCUCUGUCCCUUUCAGGCUGAAGAUGAUCUGGUGCCGCUUGCUGCCAUUCCGUUGGCUGUGCUCGACUCUACCCUCUGCUGGUGGAUAUCCUGUACUGUACUUCCCUUCACAUCUCACUUUCUCUCCCUCUCACCCCCCCCCUCCCCUUCCCCCCUCCGACUUCAUCUUCCAACGCUCUCACUUCCUGAAAUCCCUGUGUGCGGACAGUGCCUUGGUGUUGGUUGGUGUUGGCACUUCUCCCUCUAUUUCCGCCUGCCUUCGCCUUUGUCUCAGAGAAGGGAAUAACCCAGAAGGGAAUAUUUCCAGAAAAUAUCCUCCGCCUCACAAAAACAAAUGUAGACAUCAGCCAUAGUCACAUGUUUAAUUACAGGGCCACUUAUAGCAAGGCUAUCAAUAACUUUAUUUUUCUCCUGCAGUUUGACAGGACAGUAUUUUAGUGGAUUCAGUUAGUUAACCAAUUAGCCAGAAAACCAGUUAGUAUAGCGAUGACUAAGACCACACCAGGUUUUCCAGCCGUGCUUAACCUGGCCAUGGGGGGCAGAGGGAAGCUCAACUCCUCCUGAGUGAUGAGAAAAUGUCUGAAAACCCUCAGAGACUUACACCCUGAUUAGCUUGGGUUUAUGUUCAGGUAUAUCAGCUCAGUUGACAAGGUAGGCAAACUCUUCGGUGUUGGUUAUGUUGAAAGUCAAUGGAAGAAGACUGGUAUUAUUGGGUUAACUGUUUCUGUUGAGAAUUGUAUUUCAAACGGUGGGCUGUUUGUUACCCGGGUGUGUCCUGGGGUUAUGUUGGGAGUCCUUGACAGCCAAUCACAUCUUUAUCAGCCUGGCCCAGACCAUGAAGCUCCUUCGCCUCCGAAGAAACGUGGUCAACCUCUCCCUGUAUCGCCACUUUACCAACACCCUCAUAUUCGCCGUUAUUGCCUCAGUAAUUUUCAUUAUCUGGAUGAUGAAGACCUUCAAUGUUUCAAAGUGCCAGUCAGACUGGAUGGAGCUGUGGAUAGACUGCUUCCUGGCGGUUCCUCUUCCCCACCAUCCUUCAGGUCAUCAUGUAUCUGUGGAGGCCGUCUGCCAACAACCAGAGAUACACCUUCAGCCCCCUAGUGGACGAGGAGCGUGACGACGAGGCAAAGGAACAGCUGAUGAAUGAUACAUUUGUGUACUUCCAGAGGGCGUGAAGACGAGGGGUCUGAAGUCCAAGACAAGUGGAACAGCCUGCUGGAGCGCGUGCUACGGAUGGGUGUUCGUGACCAGUGAACUGAGAUAAGGCGGAGCUUUACCUAGCAGGGACUUGGAGCCAGUGGGUCUGGCGACAAAUAUGUAGCGAGGGCCAGCCGACUAGAGCAUACAAGUCGCAGUGGUGGGUGGUAUAAGGUGCUUCAGUGACAAAACGGAUGGCAAUGUGAUAAACUGCAUCCAGUUUGCUGAGUAGAGUGUUGGAAGCAAUUUUGUAGAUGACAUCGCCAAAGUCGAGGAUCGGUUGGAUAGUCAGUUUUACUAGGGUAAGUUUGGUGGCGUGAGUGAAGGAGGCUUUGUUGCGGAAUAGAAAGCCGACUCUUGAUUUGAUUUUCGAUUGGAGAUGUUUGAUAUGAGUCUGGAAGGAGAGUUUACAGUCUAGCCAGACACCUAGGUACUUAUAGAUGUCCACAUAUUCAAGGUCGGAACCAUCCAGGGUGGUGAUGCUGGUCAGGCAUGCGGGUGCAGGCAGCGAACGGUUGAAAAGCCAUGCCAGCGUAGCCAUACUAGCGUUUAAGAGCAGUUGGAGGCCACACAAGGAGUGUUGUAUGGCAUUGAAGCUCGUUUGGAGGUCAGAUAGCACAGUGUCCAAGGACGGGCCGGAAGUAUAUAGAAUGGUGUCGUCUGCAUAGAGGUGGAUCAAGGAAUCGCCCGCAGCAAGAGCAACAUCAUUGAUAUAUACAGAGAAAAGAGUCGGCCCGAGAAUUGAACUCUGUGGCACCCCCAUAGGUUGGAGUAGCCAGGCGGAAGGCAUGGCCAGCCGUUGAGAAAUGCUUGUUGAAGUUUUCGAUAAUCAUGGAUUUAUCGGUGGUGACCGUGUUACCUAGCCUCAGUGCAGUGGGAAGCUGGGAGGAGGUGCUCUUGUUCUCCAUGGACUUCACAGUGUCCCAGAACUUUUUGGAGUUGGAGCUACAGGAUGCAAACUUCUGCCUGAAGAAGCUGGCCUUAGCUUUCCUGACUGACUGCGUGUAUUGGUUCCUGACUUCCCUGAACAGUUGCAUAUCGCGGGGACUAUUCGAUGCUAUUGCAGUCCGCCACAGGAUGUUUUUGUGCUGGUCGAGGGCAGUCAGGUCUGGAGUGAACCAAGGGCUGUAUCUGUUCUUAGUUCUGCAUUUUUUUUUAACAGAGCAUGCUUAUCUAAAAUGGUGAGGAAGUUACUUUUAAAGAAUGACCAGGCAUCCUCAACUGACGGGAUGAGGUCAAUGUCCUUCCAGGAUAUCCGGGCCAGGUCGAUUAGAAAGGCCUGCUCACAGAAGUGUUUUAGGGAGCGUUUGACAGUGAUGAGGGGUGGUCGUUUGACUGCAGCUCCGUAGCGGAUACAGGCAAUGAGGCAGUGAUCGCUGAGAUCCUGGUUGAAGACAGCGGAGGUGUAUUUGGAGGGCCAGUUGGUCAGGAUGACGUCUAUGAGGGUGCCCUUGUUUACAGAGUUAGGGUUGUACCUGGUGGGUUCCUUGAUGAUUUGUGUGAGAUUGAGGGCAUGUAGCUUAGAUUGUAGGACUGCCGGGGUGUUAAGCAUAUCCCAGUUUAGGUCACCUAACAGAACAAACUCUGAAGCUCUGCACAGAAAGGAUAGUUGAGAAGACAACUGUAAUCCAGUUCAGCUGUAAAUCAAGCCAACAUGUUUUCCUUUCUGUCCCAGUGCACUGCCCCCUCUACUGGACUGACGAGUUAAGACAAGGUGUUAUUCCUGGUGUGAACAGCAGGUGGUGCAAGCUCCAUGCUUAUUAAAGAGCAGUAGCUUGUCGGGUUUCCAGCUUGUUUAUCCCUCCCUGUUUUCUUGCUGGCUUGAACAAUGAGAGGGUGUGGAAGGGUGGUAUCUUUUUCUUUUUUUUUUACAACCCCACAUCAAAUAAAGUCAUUAGGAUUGUCAAUGCAAGGGAUAUCUUUAAGAUAUAUUUUUUACUUCAAAAUGUGAAUAUACUUGUAUGGAAAGGGUCGUCGGUAGAUCAGAUCGCAUGUAUCUUUUCUAUUAAAGCUUUUGUGAAGAUCGAUUGACUUCAAUGUCCAUCUUUGUUUUUCAGUCCACCAUGUCGCCUUUGGAAAGUCAUUCCAACUAUGCUUUUAUUUACCCACAGGAGACCAUGACAAGCAAUUUUGAGAUGUCUAAAAUGGAAUAGACCGAGGGAGACGAUGUGCACUGCAGACAGAGACCGUGCGUUGGACAACCCUAUGUCUGUAUAUGAAGGAUAUUAUCCCGUAUGAGCUUUGUAAGCAGCGGUUGUAAAUACGAUGGGAUAAACUAUGACGUAAUGAGCUCACUAUUUUAUCUUUGAAUGCCUGCUUAUUUAUAUUUUUGUGGAUAUCUGGUUUAUUUAUUUUUUUAGAUUCUUUACUACAAAUGGUAUCUAGCCUUUCACUGUUUACAUAGGUAAAGUGCGGGAAUGUGAUUAAAUGUGUUUUUUUGUCCAGUA
Long non-coding RNA from Oncorhynchus keta (chum salmon), 8239 nucleotides. RefSeq lists it as uncharacterized. NCBI's taxonomy places the organism in Eukaryota, Metazoa, Chordata, Actinopteri, Salmoniformes, Salmonidae. The transcript has 10 exons. The record is from RefSeq and is a predicted model, not a curated record.